GAAAUGCGAUAAGUAGUGUGAAUUGCAGAAUUCAGUGAAUCAUCGAAUCUUUGAACGCACAUUGCGCCCUUUGGUAUUCCAAAGGGCAUGCCUGUUCGAGCGUCAUUUGUACCCUCAAGCUUUGCUUGGUGUUGGGCGUCUUGUCUCUAGCUUUGCUGGAGACUCGCCUUAAAGUAAUUGGCAGCCGGCCUACUGGUUUCGGAGCGCAGCACAAGUCGCACUCUCUAUCAGCAAAGGUCUAGCAUCCAUUAAGCCUUUUUUUCAACUUUUGACCUCGGAUCAGGUAGGAAUACCCGCUGAACUUAAGC
This 308-nucleotide unclassified non-coding RNA is filed under the name plant metagenome. RNAcentral describes it as "partial contains 5.8S ribosomal RNA, internal transcribed spacer 2, and large subunit ribosomal RNA". The stretch from base 1 to 105 matches the Rfam family "5.8S ribosomal RNA", at positions 50 to 154 of the family's 154-position model. The record is from RNAcentral.